GGCGCGUUCGUCUAGUGGCCUAGGACACCGCCCUCUCAAGGCGGAGAUCACGGGUUCGAGUCCCGUACGCGCUA
RNAcentral lists this transfer RNA (74 nucleotides) under Actinomycetota bacterium. Its description in RNAcentral is "Actinobacteria bacterium tRNA-Glu". It matches the Rfam family "tRNA". From Rfam's summary of the family: Transfer RNA (tRNA) molecules are approximately 80 nucleotides in length. Their secondary structure includes four short double-helical elements and three loops (D, anti-codon, and T loops). The record is from RNAcentral. Lineage: Bacteria; Bacillati; Actinomycetota.